AUUGAACGCUGGCGGCAUGCCUUACACAUGCAAGCCGAACGGCAGCGCGGGGCAACCUGGCGGCGAGUGGCGAACGGGUGAGUAAUAUAUCGGAACAUACCCUAGAGUGGGGAUAACGUAGCGAAAGUUACGCUAAUACCGCAUACGCACUAAGGUGGAAAGUGGGGGAGUUCGCAAGAACCUCAUGCUCAUGGAGUGGCCGAUAUCUGAUUAGCUAGUUGGUGAGGUAAAGGCUCACCAAGGCAACGAUCAGUAGCUGGUUUGAGAGAACGACCAGCCACACUGGAACUGAGACACGGUCCAGACUCCUACGGGAGGCAGCAGUGGGGAAUUUUGGACAAUGGGGGCGAACCCUGAUCCAGCAAUGCGCGUGAGUGAAGAAGGCCUCGGUUGUAAGACGUCUUUU
This 406-nucleotide ribosomal RNA is filed under the name uncultured bacterium. RNAcentral's name for it is "bacterial SSU rRNA". It matches the Rfam family "Bacterial small subunit ribosomal RNA", at positions 30 to 437 of the family's 1533-position model. The record is from RNAcentral.